UCGAGAAUCUUCCCCAAUGGACGAAAGUCUGAGGGAGCGACGCCGCGUGAGGGAUGAAGGCCCUUUGGGUUGUAAACCUCUGUUAGGGGGAAAGAACAGCAGUGGAAGCAACAUGUCCAUUGCCUGACGUUACCCCCAGAGAAAGCUCCGGCCAACUCCGUGCCAGCAGCCGCGGUAAUACGGGGGGAGCAAGCGUUGUCCGGAAUCAUUGGGCGUAAAGGGCGUGUAGGCGGUUAGGCAAGUCGAAUGUGAAAUCCCACGGCUCAACCGUGGAACUGCGUUCGAAACUGCCCUACUUGAGUGCGGGAGAGGUGUGCGGAAUUCCUGGUGUAGCGGUGGAAUGCGUAGAUAUCAGGAAGAACACCGGUGGCGAAGGCGGCACACUGGCCCAGCACUGACGCUGAGGCGCGAAAGCGUGGGGAGCGAACGGG
RNAcentral lists this ribosomal RNA (431 nucleotides) under uncultured bacterium. RNAcentral's name for it is "bacterial SSU rRNA". It matches the Rfam family "Bacterial small subunit ribosomal RNA", at positions 355 to 776 of the family's 1533-position model. The record is from RNAcentral.